UCCAUGGUGGUCCAGGGGCUAAGACUCUGUGCUCCCAAUGCAGGAGGCCCAGGUUCAAUCCCUGGUCAAGGAA
RNAcentral lists this transfer RNA (73 nucleotides) under Ovis aries (sheep). It matches the Rfam family "tRNA". Rfam says of the family: Transfer RNA (tRNA) molecules are approximately 80 nucleotides in length. Their secondary structure includes four short double-helical elements and three loops (D, anti-codon, and T loops). Further hydrogen bonds mediate the characteristic L-shaped molecular structure. tRNAs have two regions of fundamental functional importance: the anti-codon, which is responsible for specific mRNA codon recognition, and the 3' end, to which the tRNAs corresponding amino acid is attached (by aminoacyl-tRNA synthetases). tRNAs cope with the degeneracy of the genetic code in two manners: having more than one tRNA (with a specific anti-codon) for a particular amino acid; and 'wobble' base-pairing, i.e. permitting non-standard base-pairing at the 3rd anti-codon position. Lineage: Eukaryota; Metazoa; Chordata; Mammalia; Artiodactyla; Bovidae. The record is from Rfam by way of RNAcentral.